AUGAGUACCUGUAAAAAGGCCAGGGCGGAAUCUACAUCUGUUGUGAGUUCAGACAGACUGAGCAGUCUACCUCCAGAGAUAAAGGGCGACAUCCUCUCCCGUCUGAAUGUCGAAGAAGCGGUUAGGACUAGCACCUUAUCAAGUACUUGGAGGGAUGCAUGGACUAAUAUGCCAAAAACAUUUCUGCGCGAUGGAAAUUUUGCAAGAACCAAGUUCGUCACAUUAGUCGAUAUGGUGCUAUCACUCCACAAGGGAACUGUAGAGAAGUUUGAUAUUUCAGGUAGCAAACCUUACCAUGACGAGUUCGGCAGCUUGCCCCGGGUAUUCCAAGGUUUCAAGAGAUUAACUCGCCUCAGACUGAACAAUUUCUCAUCUACAAACAUGGACAUGCAAAAUUUGGUCUCGUUCUGCCCCGCACUGCGUUCUUUGAGACUAACUUAUUUUGAGGGCAUUAACCAUCUAACCGUUCAAGCUCCUAAACUGAAACUUCUUUAUGUCAUUGGGGACGUUGAAAUUAAUUUGGAUGCACCUGAUUUGGAGGUGGCUCUCUUAAUGCAUCACAAAGCUACAGCACCUCAUUCUGAUCCAAUUGCGCUUCACAAGGAAAGCUAUGUCAAGCAGUUAUUGGGAAGCCUAAGUGACAUCAAAAGCUUUGCAAUUAGCGGCUUUUUGCUGAGGUAUUUAUCAAAAGGUUGCAUGCUUACGAAGCUCCCAGCCCUGUUUGCUCGCCUGGAGAAUAUUUAUCUUGCGAUAUGCUUUUUGGACCGGCGGCAAUUCUUGGCCGCUUGUUCGUUGUUUCAGAAUGCCCCUAACUUAAAGACGCUUGAUGUCGUUCCAAGUCACUCUUCGAACACAUGGGACCAGGAUCAGGCGAGGAUUAAAGACUUCACCGUGCAAGUGCAAUUGGAUCAUCUCGUAACGGCCAGUGUGCAAGGUUUCAGGGGUCUGGCCUGCGAAGUCGAUUUCGUGGCAAAGCUACUGAGCUGGGCACCAGCUCUGGAAGAACUGAAGAUAGAGUGGAAAGGCAAAACAGAGUGCAGCAUGGUUCUUGCCAAGCUAUUAGCUCUGCCGAGGGUGUCUCCCAGGGCCAAGGUCAUUGUGACAUUUUGA
This 1110-nucleotide ribosomal RNA is filed under the name Triticum aestivum (bread wheat). RNAcentral's name for it is "partial small subunit ribosomal RNA". The record is from RNAcentral. Lineage: Eukaryota; Viridiplantae; Streptophyta; Magnoliopsida; Poales; Poaceae.